Pseudopipra pipra is the source of this 6081-nucleotide long non-coding RNA. RefSeq lists it as uncharacterized. Lineage: Eukaryota; Metazoa; Chordata; Aves; Passeriformes; Pipridae. The transcript has 3 exons. The record is from RefSeq and is a predicted model, not a curated record.
CGCCGCCGCCCCCCGCGGAACCAUCGCGCCGGGGACGCGGAGCGGCGGGGCCGAGACACGGGCACACCGGGCACGGGCCGUUCCCAUGGCAACGGGCGGGGCCUGGGCCGCCCGAGCCCCGCGGGGCCGGGGGAACCCGGGGGGUCCCGGGGAACCGGAGCGGCCGAUGGAGGCCGCGGGGACCGGGGGACCCGGCUGUACCUGUGCGAGGUGUCCCACCCGGGCCCUCCUGGCUGCCGCCUCUGAGCUCCCCUGCGCCGCUGGCCCGGGGGCCGCGCAGCCCCCCGGCUGUUUAUGGGGCUGUUUUGCCUUCUCCGUCUCUGUCGUUGCUGUCGUGGCUGCUGACCAGUCGUGGUUGCAGUUAUGGGGCAACAUCUGCGCUCCCUGAGCACCACGGGGGCCCAGCCCCUCCAUUUCGGCCAGGCCAGGCCGGCAGCCCUGGGGAGGAGCCCUGAGCCCGUGCGGCAGGAGCAGGAGGGCAGAGCUGCGGCCCCGCAGGGCUCGGGGAGCUCGUGGUGCUGGUUUAGCUUUGGGUGCAAGAUCCCAGCUGUCAGUGUGCUCUUGUGCUCAGGGGUCGUUAUGAAGACACACGAAAACCCCCAGUCCAAGGCUCCAUUACCUCCUGUCAGGAACUCACCUCUUCGUUCAGCUCCGGGAUCAGCUUCUGGAAAUACCAGCACCUGAAAUACCUUCUCCAGAUGCCUCACGGAGGCUGGAUCUGCUUCCAAACCCGCUUCCAGUCUCCUCCUCGUGUUCAGAGGCAGUGUCUGUUCGCUCUCCCCUGGUCAGGUCAUGGCUGGAUUCUCUUGGUUCUCCGGGCUGCCGGGAUCCCGCUGCUUCACCCAGCACGGGUUUGAGUCAAGCACCCCCACAUUUAGACCCAUAAAAUAAUCAGAGGUUGUAUCCUGGGGAUCCAUAACAUGGCUUUGCCUCAGGAAGGUUGCCCCCGUCUGCUCCAGGACAGUUCGGUUGUGGAAUUUGCUGCGGAGCCGUGGGUACAGCUCGGGAGGUGGGGGCGGUUCCAGAGGCUGUCCCUGCUCUUUCUGGGAGCUCGGUGCCGGCAGAGGGAGCGCAAGGAGCGCGGAGGAGCGCUCUGCCUUUCACCCGAACCUCGGCACUCCGAGAUCCAUCCUGCCAGGGCCUGGGCCGAACAGUCCCGCUGCCAACGCGCCCUCCUAAAACAAGGCGUUGAUGUUUUUCAGGUGGACAAGCAGCACGUCGUCAGCCCUCCCUCGUGUUUUCGAGACAGCUGGGCUAUUUUGUUGGAAAAUCUCAAACAAAUCCCACCUGGAGCCCCCCCAUGCUUUGCAAAGGUUCAGAUUGCUGUGAGGAAGGUGCUCAGUGGAUGGUGUCAACCUUCAUUAGCUACUCACAGAGCCACUAAUGAAGAGCAUGUUUUCCGUGGGGUCCUGGUGACAUCCAUGUGUGUCCAGGCCAGCACAGGGAUGGUGGGAAUGGAGCUGAAGUGAGCAUGAAGGGAGGUGUGUCAGGGCUGGUGAAACCCCACUGCCCAGCUCCUCCUUCAGCCUGGUGCCCAGUCUCUGGCUUCUUUCACAGCUAUUUCACAGAUAAUGAUGUUUCUGUACAUUUAAUAAGAUUUAUUCCAGGACAGUUUUCAAGGUGCCUGCAGAGCUGUCACUAACUCAGUUCACAGCCCAGCCAACACACGUGCCCUGGAGGCAGCCAGACUCCCCAGGCUGGCAGAAUCCCUCAUUUCACCCUUGGUUUAUUUUUCUGGUUUAUUAAUGCUGAUGAAAUACCUCUUUUUCUCACACCAGGAUUGUUCUGUCCUUCUCCACAGAUGUCUUUAAAGAUCCCAGCUCAGACAUUUGGGUGAAGGUUUUAAUUUCCUUGGACUGUAAAUAUUCUUUUGAGCGUCAGGCAGUUCCCUGCAGCAAAACCUGGAGGACAAACAUGCCAAACACUGUCCACUCUGGUGCUGCAGCCAUGGGGUGACACUGAAUUUCUGUCCCUAGACACAGGCAGGAAUUUGGCCUGACAAAGGCAGUAAGAAAACACCUGUACUGAGUCAUGCUGGACUCAUCACAUCCCAAGCCCAGAGCUUUGGGAAGCCUCAGUGGAAGUUACAGGAACUUCCAUCAGUGGAAGGGCCCAGCCCACAUGCGUCUCAAGAUCAUUUUGAGUCUCUGCUGAUGAAAAUCUGCUCUCAUGGUGAAUGCUCAGUGGUGGCUCAGCACUAGGAAAGGAGGGAAAAAAGCCUUAGGAAGAUCUUUUCACCUCAGUGUUCUGGAGAUUUCUGGGGAAGGAAAGAAAACUGAAGGGGAAAAAGUGUUAGGCUUUGGCAGAAAGAGAUUUUAGAAGCCCACAGCUUAAUGCCAGGGAAGGCUGCAGGGUCUGCUGGGCUGUGCUCUGUGAACACACCAGCUUCAGGCCUCGCUCCAGCUGGAGUUGCAGGAUUUUCCUUUCAGCCUUUCCAGGGCCUGGGCCAGGGGAUGCAGGUGGAGAAGGACAGCACAGGACUCUGGCAAGUGUGGAAGAGACGAUUCCAGCAGUUGGACAGAGCCAGCCCUGCAGCAGCUCCAAUGGAAGCAAUCCCUUCCCAAGCCCCUGUUACAGCUGCCCCAGCUUUCUAUUCUGCUGGCUAAAAACUGGGUCUCCUAUGAGAGCUGAGGAACGGUUGGAACAGGGGCUGGAUGUGGGUUUGUCUCACAGCCACAGGUGAGUUGUUCAACAAGCCUUGUGUUUUUGGCAACAUGUCUUGACUUUUCAUGUCCUGCUCUGGCUCUUUGUGGGGAUUGGACCUGUUACUGUAGGUCCUGCUUGUGGCUGCCGUGGGCAGGUGGGUCCUGUUUGAGUUACUUUGGGAAACAUUCACCAACUGUCAGAACCACCUGGCCAGAGAAACCCCAUCCUUGGGGUGAUAGAGCUCAGGGCAGGGGAGGGGAGUUUGAUAUCUGAAUUCCCAACAAAAGGAAAUGCCAGAUAAGGUCCAGAAAACUCCAUGGGAAGUGCUGGGUUAGGAUGGGAUUCUCUUUCCCCAAAGCAAACACUGUUUUUUAUUCAGAAAUAGUUGCAGCCAGGACAGUGGGGGUCAGGGCCCCCCAGUGCCUGCUGAGGUUUGGGAUUGCUCACUGGGGCUUCCCCAGCGACACAGAACCCCUGAACUUCCUCCCAAAGCCUUGCUGGCUCAGAGCAGUGGCAGCUGGACCCACAGAAAUGGGAAAGCCCCUCCAAACCAGGUUCCUCCUUGCCAGGGACUCCUCUGCCUCCAUCUGCUGAUGCUUGAAGUGGGUCCUGGGGAAGAGCAGCCCAGCAGUGUGGCUUGGCUGGAGCACCGAUCCACAGGGAUCGGCAGAGCCUGACCUGCUGGAGUCAGCUUCUCAUUCAAAGUGUGUUCCCACAGAAGGGAGAGCUGUCUGCACUUCAGGACUUAGGAUGUGGGAAGGAAGGGCAUGGAAGUGGGAGGCUCAAUGGGGAAUAAGUGCACAUGGUACCAUAGGGUACCUGACCCUAUGGGUGUCUGUAAUGGGAGCAGAGGAAAAGGCAGUGGCUGGAACUUGCUGGGAGGAAACCCAUGGAGAGAAAUGGUUAAAGCCAUUUCCCAUCCAUAUUUCAGUCCUGUCCCACUUUCCCUUUGCAAGGCUGACAGCACCAGCUCAGCUCUGAAUCCUAAGCAAAGGUGCUGCCCACCAGAGGAGGGCUCACAGGCUGGGGAAAAGCCCCCCAGGGAAAAGUCCCCCACAGGGACUGGCCGGGCACUGGCACCAUUCCUGAAGGAGCACAGAGCCUGUUGUCUGGCAGUGGCACCACUACAGAACUACUCACUUGUCCAGGCCCUAAUCCAGCAUUUCCCUCAGCACGACCAAGAAGGCUGGGCAGGGGCUGCUCUGAGUCCCAGGCUCUGGGAUGAGGAUUUGGGGGGUCUGUCCCAGCGUGUCCUGGCACUAUAAACCCUGCAGCCUCCCUUCCACUGCUCAGCCACGGGCUCCACUGGGGAUCAUCCCAGCCAUGCUGCUGGUUCAGGGGGGAGCACUGGAGCCCUGCACAGGGCAGAGACAAGGGGAUCACUGCCUUCACCUCCUCCAGCUCUGACACAACUGCUGCCUCCAGCUGUUGGCUGGGCUGGCCUGGCUAUUUUUGCCAAGCACCUGCAGGCUCCUGCCUUCAAGAGCCCUGAGAGGAUCCACAGACAGUUUCUACUUUUAUUGUUACAGUUUAACAGAGUCUUGGACAGAGGAGAAGCAGCAGGAACCAACAUGCAAAGCAAUUAAAGUCACAGGGGCUGGAGGAACCCCCAGCCCAGCCCCAUCCCCGCUCACACAGCGGCGCCUCUGGGACCCUUUCCCUGCACUGGGGCUGCUCCAUCGGGCCCAGAGAGGGACGAGUUCAUGGCAGACACCAAACUACACACAGGGAGGAGGAGAGGGCUGGCCUUGACAAGUCAGGGCCGUUACUUGACUGGAAUCCAGUACGCUUUAAAACUGUGAGUCUGCCUUAAUCAUCACAGAAUAUCCUGAGCUGGAAGGGAGCCACAAGGAUCAUCGAGUCCAACUCCUGUCAUCGAGUCCAACUUGUUAAAUCCUCUCUGUGCCAACAGGGAGAAGAAGGAUCCUUCAGGAAGAGGUGCUGGCUUCGAUAGCACGUCAGGAGAUGAAGCUCAGAUAUUUGACCGUUGUUUUCCUGUGUCAGAGCUGGCACCUCUUGGAGCCAAGAGCUCUUCUCAAUGCCUGUGAUGGAUGUCGAGGCCAAAGAUUUCCACAGCAUAAGGGAAAUCUUUGCCAACAAGUAGCAAUGGAUGUCCCCAUGAAGGAAGAGGUACAUCAGGCCCAGAGGGGGAACAAACCCCCACCCCCAGAGACAUUAUGUCCUCCUGCACCUCUUCCUCUGACAGGCCUCAGCAUCCGAGCAGGAGCUGUCCGAGUCACUCCCUGAGGAGGAGGAGGAUGAAGGCUUCGACGUGCUAUAGUUCAUGCUCAGGACCCACCCCAGUUUGUUGUGCAGCACCUGCUUGAGUCCCGGGGGCAGGGGCAGCACGUCCAGCGUGUCCACGUAGUCGGGCAGGAGCUGGCGCAGGCGGAAGCAGCACAGGUACUGCAGGGACGUGCAGCUGGCACAGGACCGGAUCACCUUCAUGCUGCUCUUGGCCGCCGUCGAGCAAACCAUGGGGUAAAACUUCUUGUUCUGCAGCUUCGUGGCUGCAACCCCUGCCAGGGCACAGCACCCGUGAGUUUAGACAAGGGCAUCUCGCUCCUCCCACCUACCCUGAACCCAUUGGAAAAAGCCUUCCAAAAUCCCGACCUAUUAAACAGCAAAUGUGACCUUCCUCCCACUCACUUCACAUCUCAGUCUUCUGCUUUGCCAGUGUUUUCUGCUGCAGACAGACUUGGAGUUCCCCCAGUCCACCCCCCUGCCUGAGCCGCUGCUCUUACCGAUGCACUUGCGGUUCUUGAAGAACGUGAGCGUCCCGUGCCACGUGUCCAAAUGCACCCCAAUGAUGGAGCCCUGGCCAAACCUCGAAGAGAAGUUUGUUUUGUCUCCCUUGUGAUGCAGCAGACCUUAAAACACACAAAAAGAAUGGCAUUCUGUGGAAAACCUGUGCUCCGUGAAUUCCCCCCAGCUCCAAUGCUCUGAGUUCCUGCUGGUACAGCCUCACUCACAGUCUGAAACAUCCAUCCCAUCCCAGGGUGGCCAAUGGAAAGGGGAAAGUUGAGGUUUUGUAACUCCAGAGCACAACCCCAAACUGGUGAUGGGACAGUGGCACCCAGGUGCCCUGGAGGGUCCCACACCGGGUCUAAGGGCUCUGCAAAACAUGACCAGGACUGAUGUUCCAAGAGCUACCAGGAGCCACUCUGGGUGCCCUUAACAAAGGGACUCACAUCUCUGCUGCCUCUUUGGCCUUGACCUCCUGAGGAACCUCUUGUGCCACUGCUGCCUGUCCAUGUUACCUGUGUAGGACAGUCCCCAGCUGUCCUCAUCCUUGCCCAGAAGGCUGCAGAAUGUGUGGCGGUACUUGUCCAGAUUCACAUCCGACGUCCCAAUUCCCACCAUCUGGGAGCAAGGCCAGGAAGAAGAAUGCAGGCUUAAUGUCUUUUCAAGGAACAAAAUACAAUCAAGACCCCA